CUCACUAUUUUGCCCAGGCUGAUCUUGAACUCCUGGGCUCAAACAGUCCUCCUACCUCAGCUUCCCUAGUAGCUGGAAUGACUCGAACUGUUUUUAUACCAGAGGUUGAAGUCUUGCUUAGAAAGGCUUUCCCUACUUUAAGAACAUUCACCUAGGAGUUCUAGUAUUUUUAAGGUUUACUUUUUGAUACACCUGAAAAUUAUUUUGAAGAGGGAGAUUGGGGUUCAGAUUGCUUUUUGCCCAAGCUGAAACAUCUGGUUUAUUAAAUAAUCAUCUUUUCCUCGCUGAUGUGUAAUUUUGUCAUAUACUAUAUCCUGUAUACUUUGGCUUCUACUGGUGGACUCAAUUAAUUGCUUUUACCCACUUUCUUAUCCCACCGAGAUAAUGCUGCAACUCGAGUCUGAAGCUCCACAGAUCUGGGUGCAAACACAGAAGCAGCUUAGCUCUGGCCUACCUGAACUCUUUAAGCCUCAAAAAAGGAGUAUCUCGGACCUCACUGAGUUAUUCUCAAGACUCAAUGACUGAACAUGUGGCCCAAACCGUCAGGCACGGUUCCAGUCCUGCGCAGGUGGCUUCCCUGGGGAGACUCUGAGCGGGGAGACGGAGCAGGACGCUGCUGCGGGCAUGGCCUGGAGGCCAGCACGGUGGCCAGAUCAAAAAAUUGACUCUAACGAAAAUGUGGAUGUGAUAACCAGGCUAUGGAAUGAUCCUGUGGUUAUAAACCAUCAUCGUAGAAAAGUAUUUGCAGAGAUCAAACAAGCUGGAUGCUGUGGAUGGCCAGAGAGAACACAGAGUGGGGACAGUGACAUCUUUUAAUGACAGCGGGAGGCAGCAGGGGCAGCAGCAGCAACA
Molecule: non-coding RNA, 852 nt
Organism: Microcebus murinus (gray mouse lemur)
Lineage: Eukaryota; Metazoa; Chordata; Mammalia; Primates; Cheirogaleidae
Source: RefSeq, a predicted model, not a curated record